RNAcentral lists this long non-coding RNA (701 nucleotides) under Homo sapiens (human). Its description in RNAcentral is "HSALNT0255602". The record is from RNAcentral. Lineage: Eukaryota; Metazoa; Chordata; Mammalia; Primates; Hominidae.
CUUCAAAGUGAGGUUUGUAGGGGGCAGGGCCAGGAAGAGGGGAAGGUCUGGGAGGACCUGGAGGGCGCAGCCCAGGGACAAGGAGGGGCAGGAGGGAGCCUGGACUUUGGAGGAUGGGGAAGGCAGGCCAGGGCCCGGAGUGGGUGAAGACUUCUCAGGACUAGGCCAGGACAGUGCCCAUCCCUGCAGAAGCCCAGUGGCCAAUUGAGGCAGGAGGAGCUCCAGACAACAGCAUGUGAGGCAGGCGUGGAUUUUGUGUACAAGACAAAGCUGGAAUCUGUGGAGGUCUCUGCCUCCAACCCUUACGUCUAUUACAACACGCAGCUCGAAGACAUCAUUAAGAGUGGUACGGACCCUGCCACACCCCUGGCCAUGAAGAAAUUCGUCUCCCAUGCCACUUGCCAUGACUCCCUGGGGUUGCAAGAACAGGAAUCGUACCUCAUCAUGGGCCAGACGUCAGACCUGUGGAGAAUCAAAUCUGAUUACAGCUAUGUUCUGGGCAAGGAGACGUUCCUCAUCCUUUGGCCAGCAGAUGGAGAUGCCAGCAAGAAAGAAUUGCGGGACCAACUGGAGGAAUUUUUGGAAUAUAUGCGCACCCACGGCUGCCAGUCCUGAGCCUCUUCUGCUUUCAGGGAGGUGUCAUCAGGCAGCUCUGGGCCACUGGGUUUAACCCCAAAUAAAGAGCACAGGAUAUGACACCC